This is a long non-coding RNA of Poecile atricapillus (Black-capped chickadee), 2420 nucleotides long. RefSeq lists it as uncharacterized. The record is from RefSeq and is a predicted model, not a curated record. The transcript is spliced from 4 exons. Lineage: Eukaryota; Metazoa; Chordata; Aves; Passeriformes; Paridae.
AACCAAAAACUGAAGAAACUAUAGCCAAGAAUAUAAUUACUGAAUGCACAGUAAAAUGCCCAUCAGAGGUUUUUGCAGGCACCAGGAAGGACAGUGUGUAUUUAUUCUCACUAUAGUAUUACUUUUCACUCUCAGAUGACUUGUCUUAUUAACAUAAGCCAAAUGGGUCACUGGCUGCCUGUCUGAGGGAAUGUUUAGCAUGAGAGAUUCUGUACAUGGAGCUAAAUCAACAGGGAAAUGCAAGGCCAGUUACCUUUCCUCCAAGGCACAGAGCUUAAGGUUUUGUUUGUAUGCCCUUUGUAAGUCAGUAUCUGUGCUGAGUAAGAAUCUGGUGGUGACAGAGAAUAAUCUUUCCUAGGAAAGCAGCAGCUGGUUAAAGCCAGGACCCUGAUAAUUCUGGCAGUUAUGGAGGCCCUGUGCUCAUGGAUGUGAAGGGAGGGUCAGCAUAUGACGUGGGGAAAAAUAUAUUACUUCUUGAAUCCUGGCAUCCCUGCUGACUUUUUCCUGCCAUCCGCAUGAGCAUACCAAAUUUAAUGUCAGCAAGGGACUUCUUCUGGAACAGAAAAUAUCCUGUGAGAUGUCACCAGGAACUGUCAGCUGGGAUUUGUUAAAACAAGAUGACCAGAUUUGCAAGGACUAAUGUUAGUCCACUAAAACAACUAAGACAUUGAAAUGUCUUUUCAUAUUGAAAGCUUUUCUAGUAGUUUGCAAUGCAAUUACGUGUUGGUUAGAAACACUCAGAGUGUUUCCCUCUGUUAUGCUUAGAGUGAGCAGGUAUUUAUGCUGCCUGCCCAUACCUUUUGUCUUCCUGGUCUGUUGAAGCUUACAGGGAACUGAUGCUGACUUUAGGAUCUCUCAGUUACACAGUGUCAAAGAUAAAUCUGAACACAUGAAUCCAGCUUUUCAUUCCAGUUAUUUAAUUAUGCUGUUACUUUGUUCUGAUAUUGAAACCAUCAUUAUUUAAAUCUCAUUCCAUAACAAAAUACUUCUAGUUACAGAUCAUUGGAGUUUAAUCAGCCCUUGAGUUCAUCAGAUAGUUGAAUAUUUCCUGCAAGACACGAGACUGAAGUCCUCCCAAGCUAUUAGUUAAGCUGUCUCUAAAUUAUCACCUGCUUUUGAAAGAAAUAGGACUUCCCGUUCCUGGCAAGAUGCUGGCAUUGCAGGAGCAUGUUUACAGCACUGCCUACUGAGAUGGCACGGUUUCUGUCAUAUGAUACAUCUUUGGGAACUAUGACUCUCCUUGCUACUCAGGUGGACAGAGCAUGCUGUCACCAGAACACCACUAAGAUACUUCUAAUUCUCCAGUGAACUCUGAAUUUUCUGAAUUAACUCAAAUUCAAGACCACGUUCUUCAAUACACAUAGUACUGCCCCAACUAUAUUUGUCAAAAGUUAUCUGCUGUUGAAUAGGACCAGAGCUAGACCAGGAAUAAAUAUACUGAGGAAUUUCAGUUUUAUUAACAUAUCCUGUUGAGAUCAUCUCCACUCCCUUGGAUCCUGGAUCUUGUGAAGCAAAUACUGCAGCACUGCAAACUUUUGCUGUGCUAGUUCAACAUGAUAUUAUUUCCCUCUGUGCUUGUACAUGGAAAGAGAUUUGAGUGGGACAAGAAAAAAGGUUCAGGUAUAUAUCACCCUGCAAACGGUGGGGAAAGAGUAGCAGAUAUUAAUAUCAGAGAGAACACAUAAGAAGAAAUUAAUUUCUCCAGCCAUUGCCUGCUGAGUUUCCAUUAAGUCCUGGCAGCAAUGGGAAUCAGCGACUUCUUUUCUCAGCUGUCGCUGUAACCUAAAAAGAGCCCUGAAAGGCUCCGUGGAAGGUGACAUUGAGAAGACAGGUCAGUGCUGCACUGGAUGUGUGGCUUAUGGAAAAGGCAGAAGAACAGGUUUUUUUAUGACAUAUAUUUUAUCAUAUUUUAGAGGAGCUCAGUACAAAAGGUAUUUUCCUCAGCUUCCCUGGUAGAGCACAGAUAAUUGUAUUCUUCUCUCUGUACCCUGAAAAGUACCUGAUUUUGUCAUUAUGCCUGAGUGCAUAUAAACUUCAUCAGGGUUAUAUUGUUACUACUCUCUCUAAAUUGAUUUCAUUCAAUGUGUAGAAAUUGUGUAAGGCUCCAUAAACUAAACAAUUUUGAUUUUUUUUUUUCAUUGUCUUUGGACAAUAUAAAACAAUCACAUCAAGAAAAACUGCCUAAAAUUUGAAUUUGAGAACACAAUUCAGUAAAAAGAUAAUAAAAAUAGUCAGAAUAUUUGAAAAGUCAGAAAAGCACCGUAACUCUUUGUAAUGAUAGAGGGUGACACUUGUGUUUAGGACUGUGAAAUAUACUGGCAAACAGUAUGUUGCUCAUGUACAGCAAAUUUGUAAAGCAGUAAGAAUUAGAGGUGAAUAUCCAUAUAUACUUACAUUUAGAUAUUGUAGAACUUUUGCAU